AAACAUUUUUUUUGAGAGGAUUAAAAUUCAACAGCAUAGUGAAUUGCUCUAAGAGAAAAAAAAAAUUUUAAGUUCAUUAGAACACAUUCAUUCUGUGUCAGAAACCUAUGCUGUGUCAACUAUUUAAUCACAAUCCAAAUUUAGAGCUGAAUCCAGCUUGAAUGUUGUGUCCAUACUUGCCCCAACCGUUCAGGGUUCAACCUCUGCGGUCGUAUAAAGCUACGCCCUGCGGAGCAUCUGGUUACAU
Molecule: long non-coding RNA, 247 nt
Filed under: Mytilus galloprovincialis (Mediterranean mussel)
Lineage: Eukaryota; Metazoa; Mollusca; Bivalvia; Mytilida; Mytilidae
Source: RNAcentral